GAUGAACGCUGGCGGAGUGCCUAAUACAUGCAAGUCGAGCGGCAGCACGAGUAGUUUACUACUUGGUGGCGAGCGGCGGACGGCUGAGUAACGCGUGGGAACGUGCCCCAAAGUGAGGAAUAAGCUCCAGAAAUGGAGUCUAAUGCCGCAUAUGAUCUUCGGAUUAAAGUAUUUAUACGCUUUGGGAGCGGCCCGCGUCCGAUUAGAUAGUUGGUGAGGUAAAGGCUCACCAAGUCUACGAUCGGUAACUGGUCUGAGAGGAUGAUCAGUCAGACUGGAACUGAGACACGGUCCAGACUCCUACGGGAGGCAGCAGUAAGGAAUCUUCCACAAUGGACGAAAGUCUGAUGGAGCAACUCCGCGUGCAGGAUGAAGGCCUUCGGGUCGUAAACUGCUUUUAUGAGUGAAGAAUAUGACGGUAACUCAUGAAUAAGGGUCGGCUAACUACGUGC
RNAcentral lists this ribosomal RNA (452 nucleotides) under uncultured Candidatus Saccharibacteria bacterium. Its description in RNAcentral is "bacterial SSU rRNA". It matches the Rfam family "Bacterial small subunit ribosomal RNA", at positions 28 to 508 of the family's 1533-position model. The record is from RNAcentral. Lineage: Bacteria; Candidatus Saccharimonadota.